This 253-nucleotide ribosomal RNA is filed under the name uncultured bacterium. RNAcentral describes it as "partial 16S ribosomal RNA". It matches the Rfam family "Bacterial small subunit ribosomal RNA", at positions 524 to 776 of the family's 1533-position model. The record is from RNAcentral.
UACGGGGGGGGCAAGCGUUGUUCGGAAUUACUGGCCGUAAAGGGCUCGUAGGCGGCCAACUAAGUCAGACGUGAAAUCCCUCGGCUUAACCGGGGAACUGCAUCUGAUACUGGAUGGCUUGAGAUUGGGAGAGGGAUGCGGAAUUCCAGGUGUAGCGGUGAAAUGCGUAGAUAUCUGGAGGAACACCGGUGGCGAAGGCGGCAUCCUGGACCAACACUGACGCUGAGGAGCGAAAGCCAGGGGAGCAAACAGG